Molecule: ribosomal RNA, 374 nt
Filed under: uncultured bacterium
Lineage: Bacteria
Description: bacterial SSU rRNA
Rfam family: Bacterial small subunit ribosomal RNA
Source: RNAcentral
UGCAGCGACGCCGCGUGGGGGAUGACGGCCUUCGGGUUGUAAACCUCUUUCAGUUCAGAACAAGGCUCUUUGUGGGUUGAGGGUAUGCGCAGAAGACGCGCCGGCUAACUACGUGCCAGCAGCCGCGGUACUACGUAGGGCGCGAGCGUUGUCCGGAAUUUUUGCGCGUACAGAGCUCGUAGGCGGUUUGUCGCGUCUGCUGUGAAACCCUCUGGCUUAACUGGGGGCGUGCUGUAGGUACGGUGAGACUGAAGUGCGGUGAAGGAGACUGGAAUGCGUAGUGUAGCGGUGGAAUGCGCAGAUAUCAGGAGGAACACCGGUGGCGAAGGCGGGUCUCUGGGCCGUUACUGACGCUGAGGAGCGAAAGCAUGGGG